CGGUGCGCGCCGCGCUCUGGGACCCCAGGGGCUUCCUCUCUGGGCGGGUUUGCGGCUCGCGCCUCGGGGUGUGGACGGCGGCCCCGCCGGUGCGCGCCCCCGCGCUCGGCCGCCAGGCCAGAUAUGUUUCCUUCUUUUUGCCAUUCUCUAUGUUGUUUCCUACUUCAUCAUCACAAGAUACAAGAGAAAAUCAGGCCGGAGAGCAGUGGGGCAAUCAUGGCUGACUGUAGCCUCGACCUCCUGGGCUCAAGUGAUUCUCCAACCUCAGCCUCCUGGACUACAGAUGAACAAGAAGAUGAAGAUGCCAUCGUCAACAGGAUUUCGUUGUUUUUGAGCACGUUCACUCUCGCAGUGUCAGCUGGGGCUGUUUUGCUUUUACCCUUCUCAAUAAUCAGCAAUGAAAUCCUGCUUUCUUUUCCUCAAAACUACUAUAUUCAGUGGCUAAAUGGCUCCCUGAUUCAUGGUUAGU
This 469-nucleotide small RNA is filed under the name Pongo abelii (Sumatran orangutan). RNAcentral's name for it is "processed transcript". Lineage: Eukaryota; Metazoa; Chordata; Mammalia; Primates; Hominidae. The record is from RNAcentral.